GUUCGACAACAUCCGUGAGGCCGUGGAGCGCUACCCCUUCGCCGCCAUGGACACCGAGUUCCCCGGCGUCGUUCACCGCUCCCGGAAGCACCCCGCCCACCUCUCCACCGCCGAGCGGUACGCGCUGCUCAAAGCCAACGUCGACGACCUCCACCUCAUCCAAGUCGGGCUCACCCUCUCCGACGCCGCCGGCAACCUCCCCGACCUCUGCGACGACGGCGGCGUCCGCUACAUCUGGGAGUUCAACUUCAGUGAUUUCGACCUCUACCGCGACCGCUACGCCCCCGAGUCCAUCGACCUCCUCAAGUCCAACGGGAUCGACUUCGAGAAGAACCGGGCGCGGGGAAUCGACUCCCGCCACUUCGCCGAGCUCCUAAUGUCGUCGGGACUGGUGUGCAACGACUCGGCCGUGAGCUGGGUGACGUUCCACAGCGCCUACGACUUCGCAUACCUGAUCAAGAUCCUAACUUGCCGCCGGCUGCCGGAGCAUCUGGGCGGAUUCAUGGCCUUGGUGAGGGUUUUCUUCGGGGACAAGGUGUUCGACAUGAAGCACAUGAUGAAGUACUGCCACAGCCUGUACGGCGGAUUGGAGCGGGUGGCGAGCGCCCUGGAGAUCGACCGGGCGGUGGGGCGGUGCCACCAGGCGGGAUCGGACAGUUUGCUAACCUGGCAAGCCUUCCGGCGGAUGAAGGAGCUCUUCUUCGUGGAGGACGCGGGCGAGAAGCAUGCCGGAGUCCUCUAUGGAUUGGAAGUCGCUGACCCAUAGUCUUAAUUCUUCGAUUAGUUUGUAUGUAAAGAGUGAGUUUUGUGAAUG
Molecule: long non-coding RNA, 814 nt
Filed under: Musa acuminata (dwarf banana)
Lineage: Eukaryota; Viridiplantae; Streptophyta; Magnoliopsida; Zingiberales; Musaceae
Description: long non-coding RNA (MACU_LNC003250)
Source: RNAcentral